CACCCUUUAAUCAUAUAUAUCAAAGUCAGGCCAAAGGGGGUAAUUAUUAAGUUUCUAUUUUCAUUUUUUCCUUACAAUUCUCAUGAAAAAUUGUUCUGAGAAAUGACCUAAAAACUGAAUUUCCCCCUUAGAACCCCUAUAAAGACAAUAUAAAUACAAAAAUUCCACUGGGAACACCCCAGGAGUGUUCUGAUACCAUUACUAUAUCAAUAGAACCACACACUUUGUGUCUUUGAUGCUCUAAUGCUGUAAAUUUUGCAUUACAUGUGAUCUGUCCAACAUUUACUUGGCAUUUGGCGGGAGUUUGACGUCACAGAUUUGACCAACAUCUGUGAUGUAGUAAUUAAAUAUAGACAAAGCUCCGCCUCUUUCCAGACAGUCUAAGAUAAGAGAAUAACAAGAUUGACCAGCUGCAUAUAAUCAAUGUUUAACUUCAUUAUUCUCUAUAUCCUGGCUAUAUAUAAAGAAUAACUUUCAUUUGAAUUUAAAAAAAAGAAAUAAACUGUCUGAAAUAAGCUAGAACAUUAAAAGUGUGCAUCAAAAAACAUGUUCAUAAAAAGAUCAAGAGUUAGACCAC
RNAcentral lists this long non-coding RNA (577 nucleotides) under Mytilus galloprovincialis (Mediterranean mussel). Lineage: Eukaryota; Metazoa; Mollusca; Bivalvia; Mytilida; Mytilidae. The record is from RNAcentral.